GUGGGGAAUAUUGGACAAUGGGCGCAAGCCUGAUCCAGCAAUGCCGCGUGGGUGAAGAAGGUCUUCGGAUCGUAAAGCCCUUUCGACAGGGACGAUGAUGACGGUACCUGUAGAAGAAGCCCCGGCUAACUUCGUGCCAGCAGCCGCGGUAAUACGAAGGGGGCUAGCGUUACUCGGAAUUACUGGGCGUAAAGGGCGCGUAGGCGGCUCUGUUAGUCAGGCGUGAAAUUCCUGGGCUUAACCUGGGGACUGCGCUUGAUACUGCAGGUCUUGAGGCCGAGAGAGGGUGGUGGAAUUCCCAGUGUAGAGGUGAAAUUCGUAGAUAUUGGGAAGAACACCGGUGGCGAAGGCGACCACCUGGCUCGGUUCUGACGCUGAGGCGCGACAGCGUGGGGAGCAAACAGGAUUACAUACCCCUGUAGUCC
Molecule: ribosomal RNA, 425 nt
Filed under: uncultured bacterium
Lineage: Bacteria
Description: partial 16S ribosomal RNA
Rfam family: Bacterial small subunit ribosomal RNA
Source: RNAcentral